GCCAGGCACAGUGGCACAUGCCUGUAAUCCUAGCAACUAGGGAGGCUGAGAUAGGAGGAUCACGAAUUCAAAGCCAGCCUCCACAAUGGUGAGGCGCUAAGCAACUCAGUGAGAUCCUGUCUCUA
This 125-nucleotide small RNA is filed under the name Marmota monax (woodchuck). Lineage: Eukaryota; Metazoa; Chordata; Mammalia; Rodentia; Sciuridae. The record is from RNAcentral.